GAUGAACGCUGGCGGCGUGCUUAACACAUGCAAGUCGAACGGAAAGGCCCAAGCUUGCUUGGGUACUCGAGUGGCGAACGGGUGAGUAACACGUGGGUGAUCUGCCCUGCACUUCGGGAUAAGCCUGGGAAACUGGGUCUAAUACCGGAUAGGACCACAUUUUGGAUGGUGUGGUGGAAAGUUUUUCGGUGUGGGAUGAGCUCGCGGCCUAUCAGCUUGUUGGUGGGGUAAUGGCCUACCAAGGCGUCGACGGGUAGCCGGCCUGAGAGGGUGUACGGCCACAUUGGGACUGAGAUACGGCCCAGACUCCUACGGGAGGCAGCAGUGGGGAAUAUUGCACAAUGGGCGCAAGUCUGAUGCAGCGACGCCGCGUGGGGGAUGACGGCCUUCGGGUUGUAAACUCCUUUCGCUAGGGACGAAGCGUUUUUGUGACGGUACCUGGAGAAGAAGCACCGGCUAACUACGUG
This 467-nucleotide ribosomal RNA is filed under the name uncultured bacterium. RNAcentral's name for it is "partial 16S ribosomal RNA". It matches the Rfam family "Bacterial small subunit ribosomal RNA", at positions 28 to 507 of the family's 1533-position model. The record is from RNAcentral.